RNAcentral lists this unclassified non-coding RNA (343 nucleotides) under soil metagenome. RNAcentral's name for it is "partial contains 5.8S ribosomal RNA, internal transcribed spacer 2, and large subunit ribosomal RNA". The stretch from base 1 to 120 matches the Rfam family "5.8S ribosomal RNA", at positions 35 to 154 of the family's 154-position model. The record is from RNAcentral.
GAUGAAGAACGCAGCGAAAUGCGAUAAGUAAUGCGAAUUGCAGAAUUCCGUGAGUCAUCGAAUCUUUGAACGCACAUUGCGCCCGCCAGCAUUCUGGCGGGCAUGCCUGUUCGAGCGUCAUUUCAACCCUCGACCUCCCCUUGGGGAGGUCGGCGUUGGGGACCGGCAGCACACCGCCGGCCCUGAAAUGGAGUGGCGGCCCGUCCGCGGCGACCUCUGCGCAGUAAUACAGCUCGCACCGGGACCCCGACGCGGCCACGCCGUAAAACACCCAACUUCUGAACGUUGACCUCGAAUCAGGUAGGACUACCCGCUGAACUUAAGCAUAUCAAUAAGCGGAGGA